CGGCCUGCCCCGCGGCAAGAUGGCGGUCUGAAGGCAGUGGGCAGCGGCAGAAACUGAAGACUCAGGGGCCCCAGGGAUUGGAAGAAAUCACAGUACCUGCUUGGAAAGAAGAAGAGGUAGCGACUUGCCCCAGCUCAACCCCAGGGCGGCUCCGGAGUUGGGCUGCUCACAGACCAAGCUGUCUGUUUGUAUGGAGUGCCUGGAGGGCGUCUGCCACGAGUCUGUUGCUAACCGUGCUAACCAGGAGAGCUGGCUGGUUGGGGAGAAGACACUAACCCUGUGA
This 283-nucleotide long non-coding RNA is filed under the name Moschus moschiferus (Siberian musk deer). RNAcentral's name for it is "lncRNA (ENSMMSG00000006566.1)". The record is from RNAcentral. Lineage: Eukaryota; Metazoa; Chordata; Mammalia; Artiodactyla; Moschidae.